This 403-nucleotide long non-coding RNA is filed under the name Marmota monax (woodchuck). Lineage: Eukaryota; Metazoa; Chordata; Mammalia; Rodentia; Sciuridae. The record is from RNAcentral.
GAUUUCCUGGGCUAAGCAGCCUUUCUGCCUCAGUCUCCAGUCUGCUGGGACUACAGGCGUGCACCACUGUGUGUGGCUUUACCUGAUGAUUAACAGAAGUAAUAUUUUACUAAUGGUGAACUGGGUGCAUUCUGUUGUUUCCCUCCUUUUCUUCAAACUCUAGGGACUUAAUAUAUUCAUAAAUGUGUUAAACAACAAGAUGAAUUCUCAGAGAUUGUGAGAAAGUUCUGACUAAAAUCAGCUGAGACUGAAUUGAAGGGGUAAUGCAGUCUAGUGUACAUCUGCGAAUCCAACAAAUCCAACAUAUAUUGCUGCCACAAGAAGUAGGAGCUGGGCAUAGUGGUAUAUAUUCCUGUAAUCCCAGUGAUUUGGGAAGUUGAGGCAGGAGGAUUGCAAGUUUGAG